AUUAGGUAAUGAGCUGAGCUGUUUGUUUGUGCGAGGAUCCGGCCGCCGCUAAUGGCCCGGCGAUUCGUCUAGUCGCCGAUUGUUGCUCGAGCGUGUGUCGUCCGUGUCGCUGAUGGGAAGUCACGACUUAAACAAUUAAACGUUAGUGAGAUCGCGAACCGGAAGCCGCGCUAUCGUCCGGAGCCGAUCAGCUGUGUGCCGGGUAAAGUGCACAAUGCACAGUGCAAAGUGCACCCUGCACACUGCACCCUGCACCGUGCGCUCUGCACACUGCACCCGCUCACAACAAACAUGCUCAUUUAAUUACUUUGUGACCCUUCCUCUAUCGCCGUUUAUUAUGUUUGCUUAUCUUAAGGAUCAUUAUCACUGUACAAAUAAACAAAUUAAUAUUAAUUAUUAUGAA
Long non-coding RNA from Colias croceus (clouded yellow), 403 nucleotides. RefSeq lists it as uncharacterized. The transcript is spliced from 2 exons. Lineage: Eukaryota; Metazoa; Arthropoda; Insecta; Lepidoptera; Pieridae. The record is from RefSeq and is a predicted model, not a curated record.